AGGUAUGACGAUGACCUCGAUGAGGUCGAAGAAGAAGACCACUUUGAAGAUGUAGAUGAAUUAGAGCCAACAGAAGACACUGAGAAUAUUGACAUUUUGCCCACAGCAGAAAAAAGCCAAGACCACCAACAAGAAUCACCACACAAUAUAUGACAAAAUAUGAGAGAGCAAGAGUAUUAGGAACUAGAGCUCUACAGAUAAGGUACUUGACCCUUUAACUCUCAGAAGUGAUUAAUAUGUAAAUUCUCCCUGUAAUAUCCAUACAUUAUUCAGCAAACAGGUAAUGAGAAUACUCAAACUCAUCAGGUAAAAGAUACCACCUUGAUUGAACACCAAAUUGUUGUAAUCAAUUUACAAGGAAAUUUGUUGCAGCUAGAGGGGAGAAUUAACAAUCAGAUCUUAGGAGUUAAAGGGUUAAUUAACUCAACAAAUAAAGAUUGUUAAAGCUCUAAUGCCUAGGGUUGAGAUCUUGAGUUAUACCUUGACUACAGUCCAUUUCAGUCCAUUCUGGCAAGACCAUUAUUUUAGCAACUCAUUUUGCUCUAUUGUGUUUUUAUAACCAGUAUGGGUGCCCCUGUUAUGGUGGAACUUGAAGAUCAGACAGAUCCUCUACAGAUAGCCAUGAAGGAACUCAAGUAAAAAUUUUAUUGAGUUUUAACAGGGUAUUUAAGCCAAAACUUACAGCAUUAGUAGUACAACAGCCAGCACGAAGUAUUCUCAACAAUGUAAUCCAAAGAGGGUUUUUAAUUAUUUUUUCUUAGAUCUUUGUUUCAUGAUAGUUGAUGUGUGCCAAGAGGGAAUAAACUCCCAUGUAGAAAUCAAGGGUUACUUAUAUAUAGUAGGCAGCAUAGCCAAUGGGAUUGCAGCAUUUGUGAUAUAAUGCAUGCAGAUUUAUAAUAAUAUUCAUUAGACUAUAAGACAAAUGCAACUGGAAAAAUUAUUGGAGGAGUACAUCAAUUAUUGAAGUUCCAAGCCUCUUAGCCCUUUAACUCCCAGAAGUGAUGAACUUGUAACUUCUCCUUGUAAUAUAUAAACAUUGUCUGGCAAACAGGACAUAAGAACAUUCAAAUUAAUCAGGUGGAAGUUCUUAUCUUGAUCUAACACCAAAUUCUUGUAACUUAUAUACAAGGAAAUGUGUAAUGGUUUGAGGGGAGAAUUAACAAUCAGAUCUUGGAAGUUAAAGAGUUAAUUCUUUUUCAAUGUUGUUUGAGAGCAAGAAAAAUCUCCAUUAUUAUUAGUGAUAUCUUCCAGACAAAAGCAAUGAAGACUGGGGGAUAGAUGAACUUAUAGUCACAGAAUAAAACUGCAUUGGUGGUAGUUUUAUAUCAGGGUAACACUCAAAUGGAGAAACAAAAUUACCUGAAAAAAGGGUUUUUCUUUAUCAAGUAUUUCCAUUAUUCCUCUUAUGUUGUGACAUGCUAUGCAAUUAUUCAAUACCUGUACAGUCAAACAUUUAAUGUGAACUCCUGUUCAACUCCACUAAACCUUUAGAGUUUUGAACUUUAAAAAAUGUUUGGCAUCCAACACUUUUUUUUUAUUUUAACAAAAUAUUUUCCUUAAACUGCAUUUAAUCAAAGGAAGGUUACAUAAACCAUUCAUCAUAUCUUGAUAACCAAAUAUAGAACUAUUGUGCGAUAUUUGUCAUAAUUUCAAAUAGAGGAAUUUAGAAUUGGAUACCUUUUUUUUUUUCAAUAGGCCAUUCUUAAAAAAAUUCAUUUUCUAAAACAAACAAUGUCCAUCUUGAGGCCAGGGUCACUUUGGCUCCUUGUCAGCAGUAUGGUCACCAAAUAAUGACCUCUGGGAGAAUGGAAUUUUGGGGCUGUCCUGGUGUACCAGUACACGGGGGAAUUCCUAUUGUUUUCAUAUCCAUACAUGGAGUUGUGACACAGUUCGUUAAUGUUUCGUUCCUUUGUGUACCAGUACACGAGGACACAACUGGAAUUUUAUCCCAGAAAUUGUGGGAUUCUGACUUUCACUGUGCAUGACUACAUUCUCAAAUAAUGGCUUCCAGUUGACUCCUAUGCUUGCUCAAUGUAGAGCACACAGUCCUCUAUGCCAGUGGAAGUAAAGAAGAACAUAAAUUA
Molecule: non-coding RNA, 2084 nt
Organism: Pocillopora verrucosa
Lineage: Eukaryota; Metazoa; Cnidaria; Anthozoa; Scleractinia; Pocilloporidae
Source: RefSeq, a predicted model, not a curated record